CGGGUUGCUUGCAAGGGCGUAUGGUGGAUGCCUUGGCAGACAGUACCGAUGAAGGACGUUUGAGGCUGCGAUAUGCCUCGGGGAGCCGCCAGCAGGGCUUUGAUCCGAGGAUUUCCGAAUGGGGGAACCCGCCGGCCGUCAUGGGCCGGCACCGCGUUCGCGCGGGGGGUACGCAGGGAAGUGAAACAUCUCAGUACCUGCAGGAAAGGAUGUUCCGUGAGUAGUGGCGAGCGAAAGCGGAUCAGGCCAAACCGCGCGCGUGUGACAGGCGCCAGCCGUUGCGCGCGUGGUGUUGAGGGAGCGUGUGUCCGGGUCCUGGCGGGCCCGGCCGGAGUGAUAAAACGGCGUGUGAGGCGAACCGGAUUGAAUGCCGGGCCGCAGAGGGUGAUGGCCCCGUAGCCGAACGCGCGUCGUCUCCGGAUCGUGUUUCCCAAGUAGCGCGGGACUCGUGGAAUCCCGUGUGAAUCCGCCCCGACCGUGGGGUAAGCCUAGAUAUACCUGUCUGACCGAUAGCGAACUAGUACCGUGAGGGAAAGGUGAAAAGCACCCCGGGAGGGGAGUGAAACAGUCUCUGAAACCGUGCGCUUACAAACCGUCGGAGCCUUUCGGGGUGACGGCGUGCCUAUCGAAAAAUGAGUCUGCGAGUCAGUGGCACGUGGCGAGCGUAACCCGUGUGGGGUACGCGUAGCGAAGGCGAGUCUCAAAAGGCGUUUGAGUCGCGUGUCCUGGACCCGAAGCGGGAUGAUCUAGCCCUGAGCAGGUUGAAGCGCGGGUAAGACCGCGUGGAGGACCGAACCCACCUGGGUUGAAAACCGGGGGGAUGACUUGGGGUUAGGGGUGAAAGGCCAAUCAAAUUCCGUGAUAGCUGGUUCUCUCCGAAAUGCAUUUAGGUGCAGCGUCGGGGAUUACGUCCGGGGGGUAGAGCUACUGGAUGCUUGAGGGCCCGUAUCGGGUACCGACAGCAGCCAAACUCCGAAUACCCGUGACGCGUAUCCCGGCAGUGAGUCGGCGGGGGAUAAGCUCCGUCGUCGAAAGGGAGACAGCCCAGAUCGUCGUCUAAGGUCCCCAAGCGCGUGCUAAGUGGGAAAGGAUGUGGAGUCGCAUAGACAGCCAGGAGGUUGGCUCAGAAGCAGCCACCCUUGAAAGAGUGCGUAACAGCUCACUGGUCUAGUGGUUCCGCGCCAANNNNNNNNNNNNNNNNNNNNNNNNNNNNNNNNNNNNNNNNNNNNNNNNNNNNNNNNNNNNNNNNNNNNNNNNNNNNNNNNNNNNNNNNNNNNNNNNNGACAAUGUAGCGGGGCUCAAGCACGCCACCGAAGACGCGGCAGCGUCCGUUUGGAUGCUGGGUAGGAGAGCGUCCCCAUCGGGGCGAAGCGGCGGCGCAAGCCUGCCGUGGACCGUUGGGGAGUGAGAAUGCAGACAUGAGUAGCGAGAGGCGGGUGCGAAUCCCGCCCGCUGGAUGACCAAGGGUUCCGGGGCCACGUUCGUCGUCCCCGGGUGAGUCGGGUCCUAAGGCGAGGCCGACAGGCGUAGUCGAAUGGAUGAACGGGCUGAUAUUCCCGUACCGGCAGCGAACCGAAACAACCGAGGCCUGGGGCGCUAACCUCCGGGUCCGUGCCGUCUCCCCUUUCGGGGGGUCGCGGCGCGGGCGCGUUGGGAUCCCCCCUCGUAGUAGGUCAGCGCAGGAGUGACGCAUCAGGGCAGCCGGCCGCGGAGGUGGUUUUCCGUGGUCAAGCGUUCGAGCCCGUCCCGCAGGCAAAUCCGCGGGGCAUCGGGGCGAGGCGUGAUGAUGGGGGCCUUACGGCCCGAAUCCGGUGAUCCGUGGUGCCGAGAAAAGCUUCGGCGUCAGGCGCGUUGCCGCCCGUACCCCAAACCGACACUGGUGGUCAGGUAGAGAAUACCAAAGCGAUCGAGCGAAUCCUGGUCAAGGAACUCGGCAAAUUGCUCCCGUGCCUUCGGCAUAAGGGAGACCCCCUGCGGUGAUGAGCGGCGGGGGGUGGCACAGGCCAGGGGGUAGCGACUGUUUACCAAAAACACAGGAGCGUGCGAAGGCGCAAGCCGCUGUAUACGCUCUGACGCCUGCCCGGUGCCGGAAGGUUAAGAGGAUCCGUCAGCUUUCUGCGAAGCGGUGAAUUCAAGCCCCGGUAAACGGCGGUGGUAACUAUAACCAUCCUAAGGUAGCGAAAUUCCUUGUCGGGUAAGUUCCGACCUGCACGAAUGGCGUAACGACUUCCCCACUGUCUCGACCAGGAGCUCGGCGAAAUUGCAGUACGAGUAAAGAUGCUCGUUAAGCGCAGAAGGACGAAAAGACCCCGGGACCUUUACUAUACCUUGGUAUUGGCAUUAGGCGCGGAUUGUGUAGCAUAGGCGGGAGGCUUCGAGGCGGGUGCGCCAGCAUCCGCGGAGCCGCAAGGUGAAAUACCGCUCUGUUCUCGUUUGAUGUCUAACCUCGAACAGUCAUCCUGUUCAGGGACAGUGCCUGGCGGGUAGUUCAACUGGGGCGGUUGCCUCCCAAAGAGUAACGGAGGCGCUCAAAGGUCCGCUCGGCCCGGUUGGCAAUCGGGUGUCGAGUGUAAUCGCACAAGCGGGCUUGACUGCGAGAUCGACGGAUCGAGCAGGGACGAAAGUCGGAGAUAGUGAUCCGGUGCCGGCGCACGGGCGCGGCAUCGCUCAACGGAUAAAAGGUACCCCGGGGAUAACAGGCUGAUCAUUCCCAAGAGUCCAUAUCGACGGGAUGGUUUGGCACCUCGAUGUCGGCUCGUCGCAUCCUGGGGCUGGAGCAGGUCCCAAGGGUUCGGCUGUUCGCCGAUCAAAGCGGCACGCGAGCUGGGUUCAGAACGUCGUGAGACAGUUUGGUCUCUAUCCUCUGCGCUCGUUGGAAUCUUGAGGAGGCCUGCCCAUAGUACGAGAGGACCUGGGUGGACGAACCUCUGGUAUGCCGGUCGUCACGCCAGUGGCGCGGCCGGUUGGCUACGUUCGGAAGGGAUAACCGCUGAAAGCAUCUAAGCGGGAAGCCUUCUCCAAGAUAAGGAUUCCAUGCGGCCCCGAGCCGCUGAAGACCCCAUGCAGAACACGUGGUCGAUAGGCCGGACGUGGAAGCCCCGCGAGGGGUGGAGCCGACCGGUACUAAUGGUCGAGAGGCAACCCACA
This 3147-nucleotide ribosomal RNA is filed under the name Bifidobacterium bifidum. RNAcentral describes it as "23S ribosomal RNA". It matches the Rfam family "Bacterial large subunit ribosomal RNA". Lineage: Bacteria; Bacillati; Actinomycetota; Actinomycetes; Bifidobacteriales; Bifidobacteriaceae. The record is from RNAcentral.